GGGCUGAGAUUUAAACCCAGAACUGUCUACUGCCAAAGCUUUUGCGCUCUCCCUCGUGCCACGUUGCUUCUCAUUUUGGGCUUGGUCUCCACUUCCCAGUCCUUGAAGGAGUUCUCCAGGUCUGCCCCAUUAGCACUGCAUCUCAGAAGGAAGCUGCAGCUGCGCCGCCAAUCUCCCGGUGGUAGGUGCUUAAUAAACAUUAUGAAGUGCAUGAACAAAUGAAUAGCCCCUGAUGGACAGACAUGCUUGAGAAACACUAUUUUUCACAUUCCUAUCUACACUCAAGAUUUUACCUAUGAUAGCAGGCUGAAGAUUCCCAGGAUCUUACAUCCUAGCAGCCCUAACAGUUCAGCUGAGCUGAAAGGAUGAGGAGGAAGCCCUUGGCGAUGGAACUUCUAGACAAGCCAAGGCCUGCCUGGCAGAGCUGGGAGCAGAUUGAGGAAGACACCACUGCCCCUCCACCCACCCCGCCGCCGCCUUCAUGUUGCCUUGAUCUUCUAUCCUCAGCUGACAUUUUUGUCGCUCAUCUCUGAUUGAAGAAACCUCAGUUUCUUAUUUGAUCUUUCCUGGACAACCGUUUAAUAGGCAGCAAGAAAAAGAGAUGAGAGAAAGUGAUUUUUCAUCCCUGACUUGACAUGAUAUUUUCCUUUUAACAAUUUAUCCAUACCUCUCCUCUCAGUUUCUCUCCUUUCAUAUACUCACAUACUAUCUGCCUCUCUGCAUAGCAAAGCAACCUUUUGAGCAGUUCUCUAAGAAGAUUCUAAAAAGCAAGGAAAAAGCAGGAUCACAAUAGCUCCUUCCCCAGUUCAAUUCAGCAAGCUUUUCUGAGCACCAGUCCAGAUGCAAGGCACAAUGAGAGGCAAGAUGAAGAAUGGGGGUUACUCUAUCCUCAUCGGACCAAUUUAGAAUCCAGUACAUGCACAUACAGGAAAAAUCCAAUGUGUUCAUCAUCUGUGUGUUCCAUAAUCAUUUACUGAGCACCUUUUAUCAAAAAGAGAAACCAUUUUUAAAGUAAACUGGAUUCUCUAUUAUAACAACAGUGAAGUUUGGCAAAAUGUUUUCCUCAUGUGAAGGCUUGAAUUUAAAGAAUUUUAAUUUAUGUUCAUUAUGAUUCAAUCCAACAUUUGUCUUUUUGUAUGUAUUAGAUCUUGCGAGGGACACAAAGAUAAUCAAGUUGUGGAUCUAGGUCUUAAGACGUAUAAAAUUGAGUGGGUCUAUGUCUUCCAAUACACAAAGUCAAGUGGAGAGACAUAAAUAACACUAACUUCAGUGCAAUGUAUACUAAAGGAUACGGAAUGACUUAUUCAGCAGCUACUAUGUGCCUGGUGCUUUACCCAUAUGAUUAAUAAAGCAUCUUUUGGUGAUA
Molecule: long non-coding RNA, 1366 nt
Organism: Homo sapiens (human)
Lineage: Eukaryota; Metazoa; Chordata; Mammalia; Primates; Hominidae
Source: Ensembl